AGUGAACGCUGGCGGCGUGCUUAACACGUGCAAGUCGAACGAGAACGGAUUAUAGCUUGCUAUAAUUGUCAGCUAAGUGGCGGACGGGUGAGUAAUGUAUAGGUAAUAUGCCUCUUACUAAGGGAUAACAAUUGGAAACGAUUGCUAAUACCUUAUAUUCCUUUUUAUCAAAAGAUAAAAAGGGAAAGAUUUAUUGGUAAGAGAUUAGCCUGUAUUGUAUCAGUUAGUUGGUGGGGUAAUGGCCUACCAAGACGAUGACGCAUAACUGGUUUGAGAGGAUGAUCAGUCACACUGGAACUGAGACACGGUCCAGACUCCUACGGGGGGCAGCAGUGGGGAAUAUUGCACAAUGGACGAAAGUCUGAUGCAGCAACGCCGCGUGGAGGAUGACACAUUUCGGUGCGUAAACUCCUUUUAUAUAAGAAGAUAAUGACGGUAUUAUAUGAAUAAGCACCGGCUAACUCCGUGCCAGCAGCCGCGGUAA
RNAcentral lists this ribosomal RNA (484 nucleotides) under uncultured bacterium. Its description in RNAcentral is "partial 16S ribosomal RNA". It matches the Rfam family "Bacterial small subunit ribosomal RNA", at positions 29 to 523 of the family's 1533-position model. The record is from RNAcentral.